AUCUCUCCCUUUUUCUCUUCUACUUCCCUCGUUGCUGUUCCACGGGUUAAUUCUUGACGCGCACGCUUUCGAUAACAAGGUUGUUUCAAGUGGCACUCCCGAGCUUGCUCUGGGGUUUGCCUGCCCCGAGCAACUAUAUCGAGUGUUCCGCUGUUUAACUUAAUUGCCGCUAGCUGCUACUUCGCGAUUGCUCUCUUUUCAUACAGAGAGCAGAUUCGUCGCUUAGUUAGUUAAUGUGCAAAGUGGAAUUUGAUUGCGUGUUUUUUUCAGUGCCUUUGAAUGCCUAGAGACUGUGAUUGGAUCAUGUUAGAGAUUCUGAUUUGAAUUGUACGAGAUUCCCUUUUGGUUAUGUAAGAGAAUUAAGUAACAGUUUGGCAAUUGCAAUCUCCUCCAAUGGAGAAAAAGGAGAAAAAGUGAGAUCACAGGGCGUCUAUUCCAGGAAUCACUCUCGACGGAAGUUACUGUGGAAUCCGUCGGUGGUAAUUCGAGGUGAACGAAACUGAAGUGGGCUCGAAUUACUAGGGAACUAUUAAUGAAACAGGGAUUAAAAGAAAGAAGCUGGCCAACGCAAUGGGGGGAACAGAUGGGUUCGUCGAGCGUUCGUGAAUGGAAAGAAUCGCUGCUUUUUCGCUAUUCACGCGGUAUAGUUGUCUGUGACGAUGGUUUUGAAGGUUCCUGAUCGCGCUGCCUUUCAUUCGGAUAUUUGAGAUGAUACUUAUUCAAAAUGGACAUAAUACUGAUAUCAAAAAGAAUAUCAAAGGAACGUUUAACAAAAUAUUAAAGAAGAACUUAUUCAAUAUUUGUGUAAUAUUGAUAGAUAUUUUUUCAAUAUUACAGAAACUAUACGUAUAAAAAGGAACUCAAAGAGGAAGGGAGGAGAAUGUUGGGAAAGUCUGUCGAAGGUCGUCGAUAAUAGUUUCCAAUACUUGCCCAGUAUUUUGCGGUAACGAGACCCGUAACGACCGUCGUGCAAGAAAUAAACGAGUCGGAUUAUAGUUUUCCGUUUCGCUUAAACUCAAUCACUCCUGCAGAAAUACAAGUUUCGAGCGGUUCGGUAACGACGGAUCGAAGAAAUUUUUAAAGAGCCAAGAUUGACCGCGUUGAAGUCACCGCGAGUCUCUCCAAUCCUCUUCAACUAGACGUCUGUACACUGUACCGUACACGUGUACAAGCAAAUUGAAGUACGGUAGAACGUUCGACGAUAAUUUGCUCCAAUAAGUUUGAAAUAACGGUUCAGCAUUCUAAUGGAAAAUAUCAUUUGGUGGUAGUCUAAUAAUACAAUGGCAAAUAAGUCGCGCUUCUGAACAAAUGAAAAGCGGAAGAACCGACCAAUAAUUCACGGGGUGGUAUCGAUCGAGCACGUGACUCUCCGGCACGAAUUCCAACGUUGUUGAAAAUGAUAUUAAUGACGAUCGACGUCGUCAGGGGAAAGGAAUGCAAUAUCGCCGCCGCUGGUGUUAAUGUAGCCGCUGGCUGCGACCAAUAGAAAAUUCCACGCUGAAGAAGCUUUUACCCGCGUGGUAUCAUGAACACAGCAUUGUCGUCGGAAGGAUUACCAGACAGUUAUUAAAAUAUCAUUCUUCCACGGUGACCCCACAGCCUCCAACAGGGAGAUUCACCCUCACGCGCUAGACGUCAUGGGGGCGACUUCACGUUGGCUGUCUUCCUGCCUCCUUUUCAACGUAGCUGGCGUAACAAUGUGUGUGUUUCGCGUGUCCUUGAAACCAAGGGAGGUCUCCGAUGAUGGCGUGGGUGUAUUCGCAAGUCACGUUUCACAAGGAGUAAAAGGAAAGGAACGUUUAUAAUGCGAGUAAUUGAAAGUUAGUCCAUCCUUAUUCCAAUAGCAACUUUAUAGUAACUACAGAAAGUACCUAUUCGUACAGCAUUGUAUCUAUUAUAGCAUUUAUACGUUGUAAUUACUAGGCUGCGGAUUUUUAUGCAAACGUGUAUUUUUAUGCAGAUAAUUAGAGAUAUAAAACCUACAUAAAGAUUUAUUAUGAGAUGCGUAAAUUUUAUAAUGGCUACUAUACAGCAGAUAUUUUUUAUAUUCAUAUUCAUUAGGUGAAUUUAUAAAUUUUUCAUAUUCGCAUAAAGAUCCGCAGUCUGGUAAUUAAUUAGUUUCCAUUAAUUAGGUUCAAUGUUUCAUUGGAAAAUAAAGGUAUGUGCAAAUACA
Molecule: long non-coding RNA, 2173 nt
Organism: Bombus terrestris (buff-tailed bumblebee)
Lineage: Eukaryota; Metazoa; Arthropoda; Insecta; Hymenoptera; Apidae
Exons: 5
Source: RefSeq, a predicted model, not a curated record